AGAGUUUGAUCCUGGCUCAGGACGAACGCUGGCGGCGUGCCUAACACAUGCAAGUCGAACGAGGUCCAUCCGGUGGCAACACUGGGGAAGACCUAGUGGCGAACGGGUGAGUAACACGUGAGGAACCUGCCCCGAAGACCGGGAUAACCCUCCGAAAGGAGAGCUAAUACCGGAUACCCCCACCGGACCGCAUGAUCUGGUGAGGAAAUGGAUUCCGCUUCGGGAGGGUCUCGCGGCCUAUCAGCUUGUUGGUGGGGUAAUGGCCCACCAAGGCUUCGACGGGUAGCUGGUCUGAGAGGACGAUCAGCCACACUGGGACUGAGACACGGCCCAGACUCCUACGGGAGGGCAGCAGUGGGGAAUCUUGCGCAAUGGGCGAAAGCCUGACGCAGCAACGCCGCGUGGGGGGAUGAAGGCUCUUCGGGUUGUAAACCCCUUUUCAGCAGGGACGAAAACUGACGGUACCUUGCAGAAGAAGCCCCGGCCAACUACGUGGCAGCAGGCCGCGGGUAACACGUAAGGGGGCAAGCGUUGUCCGGAUUUAUUUGGGCGUAAAGAGCUCGUAGGCGGCUCUGUAAGUUGGGGUGGUGAAACCUCCACGCUUCAACGUGGAGAUGCACUCGAUACAGCUGUGGACUCGAGUCAGGUAGGCGAGCGUGGGACUUUCUUGGUGUAGCGGUGGAAAUGCGCAGAUAUCCGGGAGGCAUCACCAGCGCAGAAUGCCGCUCUCUUUGCGUCCGGAAUCUUGACUGUCUGAGGAGCGAAAAUGCGUGGGUAAUCCACACGAGGUAUGAGUAUACCCCUGGUUAGUCACACGGCCGUAAACGGUGGGGACAAUAGUGUUGUGGGUUACCAAACCCAGGGAAUCCGGUGCUGUAAUAUAACGCAUUAAGUGCCCCCGCCUGGGGAAGUAGCGCCCGCAAGUUUAAAACCUCGAAAGGAAUUGACGGGGGCCCCGCACAAGCCGCGGGGAGCAUGUUGCUUAAUUUCGGAGGCAACGGGGAAGAAACCUUUACCCUGGGUUUUGACAUUUAGGGAAAAAGCCGUAAGAGAUUCGGGUUGUCCUUUCGGGGCCCCUACCACAGGUUGGUUCCAUGGGCUGUCGUCCAGCCUCGUUGUCGUGAGGAUGUUGGGGUUAAGUCCCCGCCACGGAGGCGGCAACCCCUUGGUCCUUGGUGUUGCUUACCCGGGUAAUGCCCGGCAACUCUCCAGGAGGACUGCCCGGGGUCAACUCGGAGGGAAGGGUGGGGGAUGACGUCAAGUCAUCAUGCCCCUUAUAUCCCAGGGCCGCAAACAUGCUACAAUGGCCGGUACAACGGGCUGCUACCCCGCGAGGGGACGCGAAUCCCUUAAAGCCGGUCUCAGUUCGGAUUGGAGUCUGCAACUCGACUCCAUGAAGUCGGAGUCGCUAGUAAUCCCGGAUCAGCCACGCCGGGGUGAAUACGUUCCCGGGCCUUGUACACACCGCCCGUCACACCACGAAAGUCGGUAACACCCGAAGCCGGUGGCCCAACCCUUUUGGGAGGGAGCCGUCGAAGGUGGGAUCGGCGAUUGGGGUGAAGUCGUAACAAGGUAACC
This 1578-nucleotide ribosomal RNA is filed under the name uncultured bacterium. RNAcentral describes it as "bacterial SSU rRNA". It matches the Rfam family "Bacterial small subunit ribosomal RNA". The record is from RNAcentral.